CUACGGGGUGCAGCAGUGAGGCCUAUUGCACAAUUUUUUGAACCCUGAUGCAUCAACUCCUCGUGGAGGAUGACGCAUUUCGGUGUGUAAACUCCUUUUAUAUGUCAAGAAGAUGACGGUAGCAUAUGAAUAAGCACCGGCUAACUCCGUGCCAGCAGCCGCGGUAAUACGGAGGGUGCAAGCGUUACUCGGAAUCACUGGGCGUAAAGGACGCGUAGGCGGGUUGGAAAGUCAGGUGUGAAAUCCUACAGCUUAACUGUAGAACUGCACUUGAAACUUCUAAUCUAGAGUAUGGGAGGGGGAGAUGGAAUUAGUGGUGUAGGGGUAAAAUCCGUAGAUAUCACUAGGAAUACCUAAAGCGAAGGCGAUCUCCUGGAACAUUACUGACGCUAAGGCGUGAAAGCGUGGGGAGCAAACAGGAUUAGAUACCCUAGUAGUC
Molecule: ribosomal RNA, 439 nt
Filed under: uncultured bacterium
Lineage: Bacteria
Description: partial 16S ribosomal RNA
Rfam family: Bacterial small subunit ribosomal RNA
Source: RNAcentral